RNAcentral lists this long non-coding RNA (1706 nucleotides) under Paramuricea clavata. The record is from RNAcentral. Lineage: Eukaryota; Metazoa; Cnidaria; Anthozoa; Malacalcyonacea; Plexauridae.
CUCCUAUUGGUGUGACGUCACUCUUGACUUGUGACGCCACCCGUGACUUGGUAUAUCGCGCAUAAACCAGUUAUAAAGUAUACGGCGAACGUUAACGUCAUUAAUAGAUAGAUUUAGAAAACACGACACAACGUCUAAGACGACGUGAAAAUGACGUAUGCACCUCGUGUUCACUUCCAGACCAGGUUUUUAAGGGAAGCCUCACAUAUCGAUUUUGUCCAUGAGAAACGUCACACAUUUUAUCGAUAUUUUGUAGGUAAUAAAUACAUGAAUAAGGUAAUUUUCUAUAUACAUUUUUUCGGUCGGCUAUUGGCGAUGCUUCCGCGAGGAAUAUGACAUACUCUUUUUUUAUUAUAAAUAUGAACUUCAAAAUUUCCAACGUUUCUCAAAACAACUUUUUUGCAUGAAAUUGAAAUAUUGAUAAUUUUAGCGCGCCUUUCUUGAAAUUUGAGUGUUUACAAUGCAAGGAAGCCGUAAUAAUAUAAAUGCAUAGGUAUAGAACAGGUCAGGUAUUACGAAUGUAUAGACUGCUGUUUGUAUCAAAUUAUUUUCUUUUUUAUAUUCUGCAAAGAUAAAAACUAUCGAAUUUUUCCAUGAUGUUUACAGAGAAACGUCACAGCUGCCAACCCCCCCACCCCCAAACGAACAUAUGACGUUUCUCGUGGAAAAAAUCGAUAUUUGAGGCUUCCCUUAAUCUGGGACGGUUUGUUUGUCUUUUUCGAAGCAAAUUUUUGUUUUCUUGUUACCGGCUCAUUCCUGUAUUGCUCUCAAUCAGUUGUCAAGAUACGAGCAAGAAAAGGCUAAUACUGGCCAAGUGUUUCCUGAUGAAUUAGUAUGAACGAAUAUUCAAUAAGUUUUUUUUUAGAAAAAGACGUAUAUUUCGGUAUUUUGAAAAGUGAACUUUCAUUGUUGCAUCAUUUGGAAUAAAUACAAUAGCUGCAGGUAUUGUUUACAAGCUAAAUGCUUUAUUUGUAGCCUAUUCAAUCAAGUUUGUCAACUGUUCAGUAUAAAUAUUGCAUCAGCGUUUAUAUUGGUAAAAUUUAAUACUGAUUACGAUAGUUUACUUUUUUGCACUGUUGAGUGUUGUGACAGAGCAACUAAAAUUGAUUGAGUUUUUACUGCUUUUAAUUGCUUUUAUUCUUCUAUCUUAAGUUUUCCUGAUUUUAAACAGUUGUUAAUAUAACUUCAGUUCAGUUUGUUCUAAAAUGUUUGUUUUGGUGAAGAAUACUAGCGGUAUUGAAGUGGUUAUUACAGGUAAACUACGUGAAGCGUUCCUCUUUUGACUUCCUAACUCAUUUGGAAUUUUCCUCAUUAGCUUUGCAAAUUUGAAAAACUCUUUGCAAAUCCCUUGAGGGAAUUUGCAAUGUUCCUAUCGGCUGUUGCAAUAUUCCAAUGCAAACAAACUUCAUUUUCAAUUUUCCUAACUUCCUGUUUUAAUUUCCUAACUUCCUGUCUGUUUUGAGCGUUGUUAUUGGUCGAUUAUUUUUGUUAGCCAAUUGCAACGCCCAGAACAGAACAAGAAGCUAGGAAAUUGUAACAGGAAGUUAAGAACUUCUAACAGGAACUGAGGAAAAUUUAAUUGGCUUUUAGCAACAUUGCAAAUUUCCUCAAGGGAUUUGCAAGGGAGUUUUUUAAAUUGCAAAAGUAAUGAGGAAAAUUGCAAUCAAUUUAGAAAUUCAAAAGAGGAACGCUUCACGUAGUUUACC